Non-coding RNA from Lolium perenne, 577 nucleotides. NCBI's taxonomy places the organism in Eukaryota, Viridiplantae, Streptophyta, Magnoliopsida, Poales, Poaceae. The record is from RefSeq and is a predicted model, not a curated record.
AUAGGGCGAAAAGAUGGCAUAUCAUAUUAUGUGUCACUACUUAAAGAAGGCAUAGCAUAAUAUGUGUCAAGGAUGUCCGUGGAACUGAUCUCAAGUAGGCGGCAACGAAUGUUUGCCGAUAAACUUUACCAGUGCUGGUUCACAUCUGUCACCAAUGUGUUUGAGAUAAGAAGUAUCGAUAAACUUUCACAUCGAUCACCAAUGUGUUUGAGCUAAAAUAUUUUUGUGUAGCUUUAAUUUUGUGAAGGUGGUUGUAACUUGUAAGGGACAAAUUAGUAAGUAGGAAUCAAACCAGUUGGCUGGGAAGUCAUUUUGAGUGUACCAUCGUUGUAGUUACCAUGAUGAGAGAAGAUAAUGUUGAAGGCAGCCUGCGUACAACUACCUUUACUAGGGUGCACUUUGCUUCCAAUAUUGCAGCUGCACGUCAAGUGAAGUAGAGGAUCAACAAGGUUCUUACAUAAAUACGCCUCUUAUGGGUUCGGAGGAGAAGGUUGGUAUUACGACUGCAUUUGGAGCUUCUGUCUAAACAUCUAAGAAGUUAGAUGUGCACUUUGAUGUAUUUUGGAUGAUUUUUUGC